AGCUCCAUAUACUUACCUUGAACCCUAGAAAAAAAAAACCAAGAACAAAAAUCCAAAGAAGAAAGAUCUAGAGUUUGUGAGAAAAUUUCCUUCAAUCUUUGAGGUUGUUUCAAGCCUAAAGCUUCUAUUGUGGUGGUUUGUUUGGUGACCAAAGCAACUUGUAAGUAAGGUUUGGGCAACGACGGUGAUCGUAACUGAGACGUUUGACGUCGAUUAUUACUUUUGCUUGACAGAUCGGGAAGGGAUUUGAUCGAGGGCUUUCUUAGCUU
Coffea eugenioides is the source of this 269-nucleotide long non-coding RNA. RefSeq lists it as uncharacterized. NCBI's taxonomy places the organism in Eukaryota, Viridiplantae, Streptophyta, Magnoliopsida, Gentianales, Rubiaceae. The transcript has 3 exons. The record is from RefSeq and is a predicted model, not a curated record.